UUAAAAUACAGGGGUCCAAUUAAAGUUUAUUCAGGGAGCUUGAUUACAAAACUUUCAAAACUUCAAAGACCAAAAUGCAAAUGGCCAUUAACAUCGAACAACGCCGUUUCAAAUAGAACCACUCGUCUUCUUCCGCUCACCAACCAGAGAAACGGACGCCCCUGCCAUCAUUUCUCCUGCAAUAACAAUCCUGAAUGCCUUCAUUACCAGGGAAAACGCAUGGCAUUCUCUGAAUAUAAAAGCCAGAGAAGGGAUUCACAGAGGAAGUGGGGGGAUGAAAAACAGAACCAAGAAAGGCAAACGAGCCUAACACACAGACGAAAACGAGAAAACACAGAGGAAGGAGCUUCCAUUCAACUAGUAACACCUCGUGCCUUUAUUACCAUCGUCUUCGUCUCGAGCAGGGGGGAAACAGGGAGCAUACAGAGAGAACCAAACCUCCGCAUCACCAUCCGCUUCAUCUUUCUUCAAUAUCAGCCUCCAGAAACAGAGGCGACAGAACAAGGAAAACACGAAACUAGGAGGAGAGACAACAGACGAAAGAACAAAAACAGGAGGAUAUAGCCAGAGAAAGCGAGCACGAGAGGGAGACAAAAACGAGCAGAAGGAAAGAAUGUAAGCAGAGGAAAUCAUUGAGACCAGAACCAGCGUUGCCAUCGUCUUCGUCAUUUCAAAAACCAGAGACGAAGAAGAAGAAGAGUACAUACAAGAAUUGAACGGAAAGGAGAAUCAGAAACGAAAACAGUAGCAGAAGGAAAGAGAGAAACGUCGCCCGAUCAGAGCACUGAUCACCCUCAACUUCGUCUUCAUCUUCAGGCAGCAGC
Molecule: long non-coding RNA, 824 nt
Filed under: Populus tremula
Lineage: Eukaryota; Viridiplantae; Streptophyta; Magnoliopsida; Malpighiales; Salicaceae
Description: long non-coding RNA (PTRE_LNC002979)
Source: RNAcentral